Molecule: long non-coding RNA, 770 nt
Organism: Poecilia latipinna (sailfin molly)
Lineage: Eukaryota; Metazoa; Chordata; Actinopteri; Cyprinodontiformes; Poeciliidae
Exons: 5
Source: RefSeq, a predicted model, not a curated record
GUAGAGGUGCGGUCAGUUCCAACAGGUGUUUGCUAAUUGCUGCUACCGCGAGUUAGCAGGUGGAGUUGUGUGGGAGAAGGACGGGGAGAUGCUUCAAAAUGGCCGCCACAGGAGAUUCAAGGAUUCCUCAAACACGCACAAAUGAGUCACAGCAGCACUCUAGAAAUGAGGCCAUUAUUUUGUCUGCUUGCCACCGGCCUACAGACAUCCCAGAGUUCGUCACUAGCAUCACACGGACGUGAGGCGCUAUGAAAAGAUGGGAAACAAGCCGGGUCCCUGUUCUCGAGAGUUCCUGGGGGAGCGCAGGACUAGAGGGAGGCGACGCUGCCAACAUUCCAUAAUCCCAUUCAUGAGGUCAGAUACUGAUGUUGGACAAGGAGGCCAGGCUCACAGUUUCAGCUCUGAUUCGUGUCAAAGGUCUUUGGGAUCAUUGAGGACGUAAUGGCAGCAACUGCAGGCUGCUGGAGUCGAAAGGUUUUUGAAAGGACUUUGUAACAUUUUCCCUCCAGAUCAAUUGAUGUCAAUGUCUUUUUUUUUCUUUAAAUUUAUGUAUGUUGUGUCAGAUUGUUUUGCUGUUUGAGAGCUUGUAGCCUCAUAUUUUCAUGCAGAUUCUGUUGAAGUGAUUUUGUAAUACAGCAUGUCUGGCAAUAAUCAGGUCUUUGUAGUUAAUCACAGUUUAGGCAUCGUGUAACAUUGUAAACACUUAACUUUAACUUUGGGCCCGGUUUUUUGGGAUGUUUCCUUUAAUAAAUGAAGGUAUUAUUUGAAAA